RNAcentral lists this ribosomal RNA (468 nucleotides) under uncultured Alphaproteobacteria bacterium. Its description in RNAcentral is "bacterial SSU rRNA". It matches the Rfam family "Bacterial small subunit ribosomal RNA", at positions 11 to 528 of the family's 1533-position model. Lineage: Bacteria; Pseudomonadati; Pseudomonadota; Alphaproteobacteria. The record is from RNAcentral.
GUUUGAUCCUGGCUCAGAACGAACGCUGGCGGCACGCCUAACACAUGCAAAGUCGAGCGCACCUUCGGGUGAGCGGCGGACGGGUUAGUAACGCGUGGGAACAUACCCUUCUCUAAGGAAUAGCCACUGGAAACGGUGAGUAAUACCUUAUACGCCCUUCGGGGGAAAGAUUUAUCGGAGAUGGAUUGGCCCGCGUUAGAUUAGAUAGUUGGUGGGGUAAUGGCCUACCAAGUCUACGAUCUAUAGCUGGUUUUAGAGGAUGAUCAGCAACACUGGGACUGAGACACGGCCCAGACUCCUACGGGAGGNGCGGUGGGGAAUCUUAGACNAUGGGCGCAAGCCUGAUCUAGCGAUGCCGCGUGUGUGAUGAAGGUCUUAGGAUCGUAAAGCNCUNUCACCGGGGAUGAUAAUGACNGUACCUGAAAAGAAACCCCGGCUAACUCCGUGCCAGCAGCCGCGGUAAUAAGG